This 673-nucleotide ribosomal RNA is filed under the name Kluyveromyces sp. EY12114. RNAcentral describes it as "eukaryotic LSU rRNA". The stretch from base 292 to 445 matches the Rfam family "5.8S ribosomal RNA". The record is from RNAcentral. Lineage: Eukaryota; Fungi; Ascomycota; Saccharomycetes; Saccharomycetales; Saccharomycetaceae.
GGAAGGAUCAUUAAAGAUUUAAAAAUAUUGAAUUAUCUGAGGCUAGUUGGGGAUCGAGAGCCAGUGGGAGUGCUUUGAGCCUGCGCUUAAUUGCGCGGUUCUGGUGCUACUGCCGGGUCUUGUUCUAUUCAAACUGACUUUUCAAGGAUUUUUCUAAUCACACACUGUGGAGUUUUCUUCUUUACACUUCUUUCUUUGGGGAUGCAAGUCCCCAAAGUACACAAACACAAACAAUUUUGUAAUUUAUUCUAGUCAAAAAUAUUGUUUUUAAUUAAACAUCCAAAUAUUUAAAACUUUCAACAACGGAUCUCUUGGUUCUCGCAUCGAUGAAGAACGCAGCGAAAUGCGAUACGUAAUGUGAAUUGCAGAAUUCCGUGAAUCAUCGAAUCUUUGAACGCACAUUGCGCCCCUUGGUAUUCCAGGGGGCAUGCCUGUUUGAGCGUCAUUUCCUUCUCAAAUACUUGUAUUUGGUUGUGAGUGAUACUCUUUUGAGUUAGCUUGAAAUUGCUAGCCGUUUUGUGUUUUUGCAAAUGUUAUUUCUUUUGAAGGAAUAGAAUUUGUCGUAUUAGGUUUUACCAACUACGGUUAUGUUCUAGUCUGAAUAAGAGAUGGUAUUACAGAGGCGCUUGGCGAACAAUACUCUUUAAGUUUGACCUCAAAUCAGGUAGGAAUA